AUUAAUGGCCAUACCACCCUGAACACGCCCGAUCUCGUUUGAUCUUGGAAGCUAAGCAGGGUCGGGCCGGGAUAAUACUGGCGAGGCGCGGUGGCUCAUGCCUAUAAUC
Molecule: ribosomal RNA, 109 nt
Filed under: Gorilla gorilla gorilla (western lowland gorilla)
Lineage: Eukaryota; Metazoa; Chordata; Mammalia; Primates; Hominidae
Source: RNAcentral